RNAcentral lists this ribosomal RNA (253 nucleotides) under uncultured bacterium. RNAcentral's name for it is "partial 16S ribosomal RNA". It matches the Rfam family "Bacterial small subunit ribosomal RNA", at positions 524 to 776 of the family's 1533-position model. The record is from RNAcentral.
UACGUAGGUGGCAAGCGUUGUCCGGAUUUACUGGGCGUAAAGAGCGCGCAGGCGGGCGUGCAAGUCGCGUGUGAAAGCCCCCGGCUCAACUGGGGAGGGUCACGCGAUACUGCUCGACUCGAAGGCAGGAGAGGGAAGUGGAAUUCCCGGUGUAGUGGUGAAAUGCGUAGAUAUCGGGAGGAACACCAGUGGCGAAGGCGACUUCCUGGCCUGUUCUUGACGCUGAGGCGCGAAAGCGUGGGGAGCGAACAGG